This 137-nucleotide ribosomal RNA is filed under the name uncultured Trebouxiophyceae. Its description in RNAcentral is "partial small subunit ribosomal RNA". It matches the Rfam family "Eukaryotic small subunit ribosomal RNA", at positions 1670 to 1804 of the family's 1831-position model. The record is from RNAcentral. Lineage: Eukaryota; Viridiplantae; Chlorophyta; Trebouxiophyceae.
CGCCUGUCGCUCCUACCGAUUGGGUGUGCUGGUGAGAUGUCGGGAUUAGUGGCUGUGGGCGGUUCGCCGCCCUCUGCCGCUGAGAACUUCAUCAAACCCUCCCACCUAGAGGAAGGAGAAGUCGUAACAAGGUUCCU